This 2921-nucleotide ribosomal RNA is filed under the name Staphylococcus aureus. Its description in RNAcentral is "bacterial LSU rRNA". It matches the Rfam family "Bacterial large subunit ribosomal RNA". The record is from RNAcentral. Lineage: Bacteria; Bacillati; Bacillota; Bacilli; Caryophanales; Staphylococcaceae.
UUAAGUUAUUAAGGGCGCACGGUGGAUGCCUUGGCACUAGAAGCCGAUGAAGGACGUUACUAACGACGAUAUGCUUUGGGGAGCUGUAAGUAAGCUUUGAUCCAGAGAUUUCCGAAUGGGGAAACCCAGCAUGAGUUAUGUCAUGUUAUCGAUAUGUGAAUACAUAGCAUAUCAGAAGGCACACCCGGAGAACUGAAACAUCUUAGUACCCGGAGGAAGAGAAAGAAAAUUCGAUUCCCUUAGUAGCGGCGAGCGAAACGGGAAGAGCCCAAACCAACAAGCUUGCUUGUUGGGGUUGUAGGACACUCUAUACGGAGUUACAAAGGACGACAUUAGACGAAUCAUCUGGAAAGAUGAAUCAAAGAAGGUAAUAAUCCUGUAGUCGAAAAUGUUGUCUCUCUUGAGUGGAUCCUGAGUACGACGGAGCACGUGAAAUUCCGUCGGAAUCUGGGAGGACCAUCUCCUAAGGCUAAAUACUCUCUAGUGACCGAUAGUGAACCAGUACCGUGAGGGAAAGGUGAGAAGCACCCCGGAAGGGGAGUGAAAUAGAACCUGAAACCGUGUGCUUACAAGUAGUCAGAGCCCGUUAAUGGGUGAUGGCGUGCCUUUUGUAGAAUGAACCGGCGAGUUACGAUUUGAUGCAAGGUUAAGCAGUAAAUGUGGAGCCGUAGCGAAAGCGAGUCUGAAUAGGGCGUUUAGUAUUUGGUCGUAGACCCGAAACCAGGUGAUCUACCCUUGGUCAGGUUGAAGUUCAGGUAACACUGAAUGGAGGACCGAACCGACUUACGUUGAAAAGUGAGCGGAUGAACUGAGGGUAGCGGAGAAAUUCCAAUCGAACCUGGAGAUAGCUGGUUCUCUCCGAAAUAGCUUUAGGGCUAGCCUCAAGUGAUGAUUAUUGGAGGUAGAGCACUGUUUGGACGAGGGGCCCCUCUCGGGUUACCGAAUUCAGACAAACUCCGAAUGCCAAUUAAUUUAACUUGGGAGUCAGAACAUGGGUGAUAAGGUCCGUGUUCGAAAGGGAAACAGCCCAGACCACCAGCUAAGGUCCCAAAAUAUAUGUUAAGUGGAAAAGGAUGUGGCGUUGCCCAGACAACUAGGAUGUUGGCUUAGAAGCAGCCAUCAUUUAAAGAGUGCGUAAUAGCUCACUAGUCGAGUGACACUGCGCCGAAAAUGUACCGGGGCUAAACAUAUUACCGGAGCUGUGGAUUGUCCUUUGGACAAUGGUAGGAGAGCGUUCUAAGGGCGUUGAAGCAUGAUCGUAAGGACAUGUGGAGCGCUUAGAAGUGAGAAUGCCGGUGUGAGUAGCGAAAGACGGGUGAGAAUCCCGUCCACCGAUUGACUAAGGUUUCCAGAGGAAGGCUCGUCCGCUCUGGGUUAGUCGGGUCCUAAGCUGAGGCCGACAGGCGUAGGCGAUGGAUAACAGGUUGAUAUUCCUGUACCACCUAUAAUCGUUUUAAUCGAUGGGGGGACGCAGUAGGAUAGGCGAAGCGUGCGAUUGGAUUGCACGUCUAAGCAGUAAGGCUGAGUAUUAGGCAAAUCCGGUACUCGUUAAGGCUGAGCUGUGAUGGGGAGAAGACAUUGUGUCUUCGAGUCGUUGAUUUCACACUGCCGAGAAAAGCCUCUAGAUAGAAAAUAGGUGCCCGUACCGCAAACCGACACAGGUAGUCAAGAUGAGAAUUCUAAGGUGAGCGAGCGAACUCUCGUUAAGGAACUCGGCAAAAUGACCCCGUAACUUCGGGAGAAGGGGUGCUCUUUAGGGUUAACGCCCAGAAGAGCCGCAGUGAAUAGGCCCAAGCGACUGUUUAUCAAAAACACAGGUCUCUGCUAAACCGUAAGGUGAUGUAUAGGGGCUGACGCCUGCCCGGUGCUGGAAGGUUAAGAGGAGUGGUUAGCUUCUGCGAAGCUACGAAUCGAAGCCCCAGUAAACGGCGGCCGUAACUAUAACGGUCCUAAGGUAGCGAAAUUCCUUGUCGGGUAAGUUCCGACCCGCACGAAAGGCGUAACGAUUUGGGCACUGUCUCAACGAGAGACUCGGUGAAAUCAUAGUACCUGUGAAGAUGCAGGUUACCCGCGACAGGACGGAAAGACCCCGUGGAGCUUUACUGUAGCCUGAUAUUGAAAUUCGGCACAGCUUGUACAGGAUAGGUAGGAGCCUUUGAAACGUGAGCGCUAGCUUACGUGGAGGCGCUGGUGGGAUACUACCCUAGCUGUGUUGGCUUUCUAACCCGCACCACUUAUCGUGGUGGGAGACAGUGUCAGGCGGGCAGUUUGACUGGGGCGGUCGCCUCCUAAAAGGUAACGGAGGCGCUCAAAGGUUCCCUCAGAAUGGUUGGAAAUCAUUCAUAGAGUGUAAAGGCAUAAGGGAGCUUGACUGCGAGACCUACAAGUCGAGCAGGGUCGAAAGACGGACUUAGUGAUCCGGUGGUUCCGCAUGGAAGGGCCAUCGCUCAACGGAUAAAAGCUACCCCGGGGAUAACAGGCUUAUCUCCCCCAAGAGUUCACAUCGACGGGGAGGUUUGGCACCUCGAUGUCGGCUCAUCGCAUCCUGGGGCUGUAGUCGGUCCCAAGGGUUGGGCUGUUCGCCCAUUAAAGCGGUACGCGAGCUGGGUUCAGAACGUCGUGAGACAGUUCGGUCCCUAUCCGUCGUGGGCGUAGGAAAUUUGAGAGGAGCUGUCCUUAGUACGAGAGGACCGGGAUGGACAUACCUCUGGUGUACCAGUUGUCGUGCCAACGGCAUAGCUGGGUAGCUAUGUGUGGACGGGAUAAGUGCUGAAAGCAUCUAAGCAUGAAGCCCCCCUCAAGAUGAGAUUUCCCAACUUCGGUUAUAAGAUCCCUCAAAGAUGAUGAGGUUAAUAGGUUCGAGGUGGAAGCAUGGUGACAUGUGGAGCUGACGAAUACUAAUCGAUCGAAGACUUAAUCAA